UGUUACUUUUAAUAAAUAGAUUUUGGAAUAGUAGUAUUAAUGAAAUUUAACGGAUUUGGCGGCAAGAUAGCCCCUUAGAGGAACCUGCCCUGUGAACGAUGAACCACGAGAACUUUACUUUUUUUUGUAAACAGUUUGUAUAUCGCUGUUGUCAGUUGAAUUCUUGAGAAUAUUUUCUGACAUGAUAAARUCAUUGACUUCAAGUAAAGGUGCAGCUUAUAAAAAAGAUAGAGGUGGGUUACAUUUAAAAGAAUAAUACGGAUUAGAUAAAGGAAAAAGUCUUUAAAGGUGGAUUUAACAGUAAAACUUAAGAAAGUUUGGUGAGAGCUCUAUCUUGU
Molecule: ribosomal RNA, 338 nt
Filed under: Tetraclitella pilsbryi
Lineage: Eukaryota; Metazoa; Arthropoda; Thecostraca; Balanomorpha; Tetraclitidae
Description: partial 12S ribosomal RNA
Source: RNAcentral